Tetranychus urticae (two-spotted spider mite) is the source of this 4430-nucleotide non-coding RNA. Lineage: Eukaryota; Metazoa; Arthropoda; Arachnida; Trombidiformes; Tetranychidae. The record is from RefSeq and is a predicted model, not a curated record.
CUGACUAUCCUGCUUUGACUAUUAUUAAUACGUCUGAUGAAAGCGACAAUCAGACGAGUCGUAUUUUUUUUAUAGCCAACAAGUCGUUCUUCACACUCCUUGUCUUUUGAUUGUUAACAAAAUGUUUAUCAAGGCUGAUAGGGUCAAGUUUAAGUUUGACCGAUCAAUUAUUGAAUUGGCCAACUAACCACAUACAUCUCAAUCAUUAUUGGCAAUGUAUUGGUGUAACAUCUUCUGGUCUAAUGAAUCUAUAUCAUUUCAAACUGUGCCCUUGAUUAUUCAAAUGUAAUCGUUCUCAACAGAUGGUUCAAGCAAUGUUGUAGAGGAAACACACAAGUAUCAAAUUCUCAACCAUCUUUAUAACAAUAAUCUUCUUUUCGAUGAGAACUGACCGUUUAAAUAAACAAUAAAUAACCAAAUGAAAUAGAUGGCAAGUUUUAUAUUAAGACUGACCAAUGAACUUUAAUCCGAAUCUUAUGGGAAGAUCGAGGAUACUGCAAAAAUAAACAAACCGUACUGUAACUUAUCUGGCAGAUGAAAAAAAGUAUACACAUAAAGCAUUUAUAAACCAAGUAAUCAGGAAACAAUGAUGUGGAAAAGACACUAAGAUGGAGAGACUAAAAAGAGAACUGCUUAAUAUCACAAUGAUGCUCAGUCCACUCACGUAGGUCAAUCUCAAAUCAACCAAUUUUGAGUAAAGUGAGAAAUUGACGGAAAAAUUGGAUCAAAUUGAGGAUUCAACUAACCAAAAACCAGGCUGUGAAGUGAAAAGCUACAAUCGAGACAUGAGUAACAAUCAUUACGGUGAAAGUAGCAGAUAUAAUUCAGGAGAAACCUUUUGAUCAAUUGAAACGUAUUUUUGGUGUAAAGCUUUUGGUUUUGAUCUUGACGAGGUGCGAUCAAAGAUAUCAAUUAUGAUCAUCAAAAUUGUUUAUCAGUUUCAUCUGUUAUAAAAGUGUUAAAAGUGAUUCUUCAUGAAACAUAUCAAAGGUUGGCUUCAAGUUUACGUCUUUGAACAACAAUAUCUUUGGCAAGAUGAAAGGUAUCAUCAAGCUGAAGUGAACUGAAAACUGGCGAUAAAAUGGAAGCAUCAGCAUCUUCUGGAGCUAAUCUUCGUGGAAGUAAUAUUCCGCUCGAUAAAUUGAGAGUCAAUAGGUUAAUCAAUAUAAAACUUGUUAAUAUUUGGUGCGACAUGGUGAUAAGAUUGUCCCUGGUGAAACAAUCAAAGAUACACACAAAUUACACAACCACAAAAUGGCAACAAUGCUGGUGACAACAAAGGUUGUAAAGAUUGGUACAAAGACGAUGAUGAUAAUGGUCCAAUAUAAACGAAACUUGAGUGAAAAAUCACGAAGCGAAAUUUAAAACAAUAUUUAAAGGGAAAAAAACGAUGAAGAAAAAAGGAAAUCCAAAUUCCAGAUUAAAAUCUGGUUACAAUUCCAUUAUUGGGAAAAACAUUCACUUCCAAUGGUUUUUAAUUGAUGUUUACUGAUUGAAAUAACCAAAAGAAGAAUAGAGAAAAGAAUUAAUGGUUUUUUAAAAGAUUAAUGGAGAUAUCAAGUUAUGAUUAUUGGUCACUUACAUUUUUGCCGGGAAACAAAGCAAAAAAAGAUAUUCAUGUUAAUGGUCAAACGGUAAAGUCGAAAGUGGACUUGAUUCAAGAUUUGACUUUGCUAUUCUUCCUCAGAUCGAUGUGAAGAAAGAGGGAGGAAAAAACGACUUGAUGAUGAUGAUGUAGAGACGAGAGAAAGAGGUUCGAGAGAGUGAGAUGAAAAGAGUGCGGGAGUAAACCAAAUUUAGGCUAAUUCGAGAUGAGGCCAGAAGAGAAAGCGAAGAUAUGAAAGAGAGAGAAAAAAAUGGUGAGAAAAUAAUGAUGAAGAAGCAAAUCUUUCUCUUUCUCUCCUGUCUUCUCAUCUGUCUUUCGUUUUCUUCUUCUUAGUCAUCUUUAUCAUCAUGAACGGUCUUCUUGUUCCAAUUGAAUGAAACGUGCUAACAAUCAUGAACCCGUUCGGAUAAGUCCAGCAACAACUUUUUUUUCCAGCUUUUACCCAUCAUCUUAACCAUCAUCUUCAUCAUUAUCAUGAGUCGCUUUGAUAUUGAUAAAAGGAUUUACCUGCGAUUUUUUUACUUCUUCUCGUAAUCACCAUCUAUUAACAAUCUUUUCAACUUUUAAGCUAAUCAUCUUUAUAACAAUCAUUGUUUUUAGACAUUUUAAUCUUACCUUUUUUCUCGCUUUUUUUAGCCUCAUCCAUAUUGGUCAAUUGUUGUCUACCUGAAUCAAGGUUAUCACCAUUUUUGCCGUGUCAAGGACAAUAAAGAAACCUGAUAACCCGGAACCAUUUUUGAAACAUUCAUCUCUUAAAGCUUUGGUCACUUUGACAGUAACUCUUUCUAAUUACGUGAUUUUGAUAUUUAACCAGUUAACAAUUAUAAGCUUAAUGGAAACCAAAGAUUUAUCAAGACAUCUACACUUAUUUAGAAGACCAAAAAAAGUUGGGUGAUUCACGAUUUCAAAAAGGGAUUGAAAAACGAUUGCAAAUGCGAAGGAUGAGAAUCAAAUAUAUUGGUAAAUGGUUGUAAUGACUUAUUUACCUUGAUUAUUAAACAGUUUUGUUUGACCUGGACUAAAUGGUUGCAAUUUAGGUGUCAUCCAGCUGAUUAGAAUUAGAUAAAAAUUGAAAGGAAAUCAAGCAGAAUUGAACAAUUCUUUGUGGACCCAAUUGAUUAACACGACACUUUCUUAAUGGAUAACAUGUAGCAGCCGAGAAACGAGUAGCUUUAUCAUGGCCCAUAUUCAUCUUUGUCAUCAUCUUAUCACCAUGAGUCCAUUAAACUUCAACACCAAACCUGAACAACAUUAACUUAUCUACUGACACCAACUCAUUCCCAAGAAGUUUUGAAGAGCUUGGCGUUUGUUGAAUUUGCUGUUAACCUUAUGGAUUAAACAAUUUGAUAAUACCUUUCAAGAGCUUAAUCCAACUGAUGAUUGGUUGAAACGGAAAUCAAGCCUUUGAUAAUUAUGAUGGCGUUGAUGGCGACCAGAGUGCAACAAGAUGGAUGCCUAAUGAUGUUGAUGUUGAAUACAAUUUUGGUUUAAUCGAUUUCCAUCAGUUUAUUUUGAUUAAUCAUUUUGUAAUCGUAAAACAUCCUGUUUAUGCUAAUUCUGGUGGAAGACGAUCAAAACAAUCAUCAAAUAUAAAGAGGAUCAACAUUUUGAGCCAGCCAUUCUGUAUCAACUGAAUAUUCAUUAUUCAGUAUAACAAAGUAUUUCACCUUUUUUCUACAUUCCUCAGCUCACCAUUUUUGGGUUUACUUAAAAUUCAAAUUGCAAACACAAUCAAAGCUGUACAUUAUGAACCAGAUGAAACAUUAUCCUGAUUAACAGUCAAGCUUUAAUCAACUAAUCAAUGGAUUAAAUUCAACUUUACCUGGAAUAAUGAUAAACACAAGUUGAAACAACAGUUGAUUACAAUGCUUGAUUGGCCUUAACUGGUGUUGACCGGAGGUACAAAUUAGUAACCCAUUAUUUGUACAUUUUAAUGAUAAUAAUUACAUUUUCCCAGUCGAUUCGUAUUUUUGGUGAUUGAUGAUUCCAAAUGUAACCUCAAUUUUCUGACUUAAUUAACAGCUGAUACAAGCACAAUUACUCUGUCAAUCAAAAGCCAUUCAAAAAUAUUGCCUUUAUUGUGCCAAAUGGAAGCUUUCCUUGUCUUAAUUCAACUAGAUUGUCGUCAACAUGACCAAGUAUCAACUUUGAGCCUUAAUUUUGCCAAAGCUCAACACAAGUUAAUUAUCAAAAUUAUACUUUAAAAUAUUUCAGAUUAAAAUCUGAAUGAUCGAUAGUUACGAUCAGUUUCUCAGCAUUAUGAAAGCAACCAAAAAAUGAUUGAAAAUCAGUUAAUCAAUAUGUAUUUACCUUAUUUAAUCAAUUCACCUUUAGGUUGUUAAUAACCCCAAGUUAAUUAUCAUUACUGUUGAUUAUGAGUUGUGUUUUUGUUGGUUUUUAAUUUUUGCUUUACUUUUCAACUUAAAAACAAAAUAAUGAUAAUAAUUCAACAUUUACUUUCUACUCAUUUGUUUAAUGAAAAUUAUUUUAUUGAAACACUUUCCUUUUCCUUUCCGAUUACAAUUUAGAUAGCAAUGAAUUUGUAUGGAAACAAGAAAAAUGCUCAUUUAAUUGCAAUUUUAACAAACAAAUUUUUACCUCUUCUAUGAUUAACCCUUAAUUAGUGAAUGUACCUCAAACAGAUUGUUUCAUUAACUCUUCCUUUAAUAUGCCUUCAACUUUGAUACAAAACAGCAAAAUAUUAUCAUCAAUACCAUAUAACCUUCACCAGGUUCACCUUAUUCUGACUCUGAUUUACACCAAAUUAAUGUAAUCCUGAAAAAUUUAUACUCAUUACCAUUAAAUUGUUUAACUUUCGGCCUUA